GAACGAGUACCAGCAGGGGAAAUGCCA
This 27-nucleotide non-coding RNA is filed under the name Homo sapiens (human). The record is from RNAcentral. Lineage: Eukaryota; Metazoa; Chordata; Mammalia; Primates; Hominidae.